This is a non-coding RNA of Pelobates cultripes (western spadefoot toad), 603 nucleotides long. NCBI's taxonomy places the organism in Eukaryota, Metazoa, Chordata, Amphibia, Anura, Pelobatidae. The record is from the annotation of a GenBank genome assembly.
UUUAAGUCACGACCACAACAGUGGGAAAAUUCAACUUUAUUGAGGAUGAAGCGCACACAUUUAAAACAAAAAGUAGAUGUUAGUUUCCUUUGUUUAUUUUUCAACGAUAAGGGAGAUAUUGUGCUUUGAAACACAGAGCAAAAGCCAGUGCGAUGAUCGUAUAACAUUGAUGUCAAUCCAGACAGAAAUGAACAGAAAAGGGCUGGGCAAUGUUAAGAUAUAAUGUUAAACCACUCCACUGAUGUUAACUCUUGAAACUUGGGAAUGGGCACAGAAAUAUGUAACAAUCAGUUGACACUGGUAAAACUAGAUGGACAUUUGGAAAACAAUGAGAGCAACUAAAAUCAUUAAGUGAUAACAUAUAUUGCUGUAUAGUGCAAAAUAUAAAAUGGUGGUGAGAGCACUCAAAUCAUGCAAAUACAAUAUUUUACCAGAACUUUGUUUGUUGGAAUAUCUAAAAAAAACAUAAAACACAGAAACAUAGUAUAAUACUGUUUAAAAUAUGUGCAAAAUGUUGUAUGUGACUGGUUAAACUCACAUAUUUCUGAGUCACUUUAAAAGCUGACUCAGACUUAGGGCUUGUAUGGAGAUGAGAAAUCUCUA